Protopterus annectens (West African lungfish) is the source of this 2807-nucleotide long non-coding RNA. RefSeq lists it as uncharacterized. The transcript is spliced from 3 exons. Lineage: Eukaryota; Metazoa; Chordata; Ceratodontiformes; Protopteridae. The record is from RefSeq and is a predicted model, not a curated record.
GAGACAAGAGAACAUACAAAUAAAAUAAAAGGAAUCUCAGAGCUGAGAGUCAUUUGAACACUGCUUGUGAAGAGGUUACAUCUAGAUCAGUUCAGAGAUUGAAUUCUGCCUUGUGAAAUACAAGAAAGCUCAUUUUCAUUUGCAACACUCCAAGAAAACAAUGGCAAACAACACUAGCUACGCUAACGGAAAGACUCAAAAAGAGGACAGUUCACUGGAAAUGAGAGAGCUAACAGAGUCCUUGCCGCACAGUAAAUGCAUCUACAGUUCCAGUACAGCCUAUCAGAAGAGGAAGCAGCUUGGCAAAUACCGCCACCUUGCUAUUGCAAGCAUCUUAUGCGGCUGCUCCUGCAUUGGAAUUGCAGCAUUAAUUCUUGCAGUCAAAGCAGAAGAAAAAUGGAAAUAUGACCCGGAAUCAGCUAUAAAAGAUAGUAGGCGCUCCUGCAAAUAUUCUGUCAUAAGUUUUGUGGCCUUCUUCCUAACCAUGCUUUUGCUGGUUGCCUUUUUUGUACUGGUGUCCUACCUAGUGACACUGACUGAGUGAAUCUGUAAAAGGUGUGCUUCUCAGAUGAAAGAGAGAGAAAUGCAAUGUGGCAUUAACGUGGUGGCAGUGUGGUAUUAACAUGGUGAAAGGCCUGUUCUCUCUUCUUCCCUCAGACUGUUGCAGUACUUAGACUAAACUGUGUCAUGAAGUAUCCAAGGCCUGUUGUCAUGCCUGGUGUCCUCUUGUGGCCUUGUUGGUGUUUUUUUCCUAUGUAAGCGCACCUCAGCUGCAUACAUCAGAUGACCUGAAGUACAGGCCACCCCCGGAGCAUCACUGCCAGCGAAGUUGGACCUCACUCAUGUUCUGUUUCACAGCUUUAAUUUCCUUCAUGGGAAGAGUUGUGUUUGAGGCCUUCAACAGAAGAAACUGGUAGUGCUGGUGUUACUUUGUGUGUACAGCUUGUGUGCAGGAUUUCUCUUCCCCGAUUUGUGUUUUGCUGGUAAAAUAUAUAAAUGUCUCUAAGUGCAAUAUUCAGAAUAUCUACGAUUUUGUGAUGUUACGAACUGUAAUAUUUAUGUAAUAUAACUGUGUGUGUGUGUCUGUGCGCGCGCACUUUUUUCCUGUAAGGACAAAAGAAAUAUGUGACCAAAUCUAGGCAGUUUAUUAGUGCUGUAUUGCUGUUUGUUAACUGGCAUAGGCACAAUAUAAAUUAUAUAAAUUCAAUAAUUUUACAAGAAAAUCAAUGACAUCCAUUUCCAAAACAUAAAGACCUUUUAAAUACUAAAUUCUGCCUGAGGAUGUUUAAAAGUCAGUAAUACAUGAAUAUUUACUGUAGAGUUCUGCUGACUGUUUUAAUUUAUUUCUUAAAUAUAUUCAUUUAUUCAGUUGCAGUAGGUAUACUGUAUAUAUAGCAACAUAUGGAUGCAAGCACAAGUAGUGGGAAAUGAACUGGCUAAGGCUUUAUCUGGGAUAAAAUCCCAGUUUUCCUCCUGUUAUGAUCUUGUUGUGAUGCAGUGAAUGGUAUCAGCUACCGUCUCCCAUGCUCCAUAGUUUAAUGGAUUUCACUUUCCUUUGUCCCUGGCUGAAAAAUCAUGACAUUUGCUUAUGAAAUACAAGCAAAGCAAGCCUUUAUUACACUAAAAGAUGUGCUUGUAAAACUUGGUAAUUGCACUGCUGCCCCAGCCAGGGAAAAGAAGCAUCAGUGUGCCAUGUAUUUGCCUGUCCUAAGGAAAUCUGCCAGCAUCGUGUCAUCUGCCUGUUACGUGUAUUCGCCUGUCCUAAGGAAAUCUGCCAGCACCGUUUCAUCUGCCUGUUGUUACGUGUGGCAGUGGAUAUGGGUGGUGGGAGUCAGACUGGAUAUGGUCUCACACUAGCUAUGAUUUUACAUUUGUUGCAUCUGGAGCUGUCAUGCAUGCAGUGCAUUUCCCAUACUGGCUAAGUCAUACUAGGAUAGUCCCAAACCUAUGAGACCACGCAGGUUUCAUCUCUACAUUACUGGUGCAGUUGGUGGGCUACCAUCCUAGCUGCCAACAGCAUGGGGUCAGAAAUGGACAUAAGUCAGCAGUGACGUACCAUUUAAAGGAGGGUUUCACUUUUCUUGGGGGAGUAACAAAUCGAAGGCUACAUUACAGUAUUGCUGGAAUAUUCCAGGGAAUGAAGACAACAAGCUAAAAUGUACACUGUAGCAGGAAAAUGGUCUGUGGCUGCCCUAUCUGCUUUCCUAGGGGCAUUAUCGCUGUACCUACCCAUCAACCAAGGCCAAGAUUCACUGUUUCAUGUCCAGCUAAGGGGCACUUAUUGCCACAGGAACAGACUAUAAUAUAAUAAGUGGAGGGCAGACAAGAGUCGCAAGGGUCAUCAGUGGUACAAAAGGGAUAGCUAAUUUAAAAAUAUAAUUUUCAUGUAAUAAAAUAGUAGCCUUUAGAUUACAGUGUGAUAGAGUUCACCAAUAAGGUUAGAAACAGUAAUUUCUUUCUUGUCUUGGCUGUAAUAAUGAGAAACCGUGGCACUUGACUGUUACACAUACUUGUUGUAAAGGACCCAAACAGUCUUGCGUUUGGUUCCCUGCUAAUAAGGGCUUAGCUGUAUCUCAUGACAGUAGCUUCAUCUGAUACUUGCAUAUAACAUUGCUAGUAUUCCUAAAGCUGAAUCAUUUAUAUAAUAUUUGUAACUACUAAACUAUAAAUUACUAUGUUGUAAUGCUUUAUACAUUACUUGUAUACCUGAAACAAGUCAUUUUGUUUGUAUAGUACUUGUGGUGAAGACAUAUAUGCAUAUUUAUAAGUACUAUUUUUCUAAUUUAUUUAUAAUAAACUCAUUUUCC